CCCGUGAGCUAUGUUACAUACAGUAAAAGUUUAUCAGUAAAAGUUUAUCAGUAAAAGUUUAUAUUAGAUAGCUUUUACUUAUAAGUAAAUAGGCAUUUAUNCUAAAAAUAAAAAUAAAAAUAAAAAUAAAAAUAAAAAUAAAAAUAAAAAAUUAUUAGAGUCUUUUUCCAAACGGCACUUUACGCUGUGACCUUUUUUGGUACGUACGCAGCUCUUUUUUAUAAGUUGGCUACUAAGUGACAAGAGCGUUUGCACUAGUGUAAAGCAUGUGCUACAACGCACAGAAAGAGGGGGGGGGAGUCAAUGAAAGUGCGUAGUACGUUACUCAAGAAUUAUAAAACUUUCAAGUAAAAAUAGCGCACCCCGGGAGUGUGUAGUUUAUAUGCUUAAACUAAAUUAAACGGUAUUCCCGAAGGGGGGGGGGGUAAACGUAACGUUGUAGCUUCGGCCAGGGGGUCUACUAAAAUAAGGGACACCCAAGACAAACGAAGCCCGACAACGGCUACUUACAGCGCAUUACUUGUCUUCCCCUUUAGGGGAACAAACUUUGUUCCCCUAAAGGGGAUGGGAACCAAAGGUUACCCAAAGGUUACCCAAAGGGAACCCAAAGGUUACCCAAAGGGAACCCAAAGGUUACCCAAAGGUUACCCAAAGGUUACCCAAAGGUUACCCAAAGGUUACCCAAAGGUUACCCAAAGGUUACCCAAAGGU
Molecule: long non-coding RNA, 711 nt
Filed under: Volvox carteri
Lineage: Eukaryota; Viridiplantae; Chlorophyta; Chlorophyceae; Chlamydomonadales; Volvocaceae
Description: long non-coding RNA (VCAR_LNC004244)
Source: RNAcentral